AUUGAACGCUGGCGGCAUGCCUUACACAUGCAAGUCGAACGGCAGCAUGGAGAGCUUGCUCUCUGAUGGCGAGUGGCGAACGGGUGAGUAAUGCAUCGGAACGUACCGUGUAAUGGGGGAUAACGUAGCGAAAGUUACGCUAAUACCGCAUACGACCUGAGGGUGCAAGCAGGGGAUCGCAAGUCCUUGCGUUAUACGAGCGGCCGAUGUCAGAUUAGCUAGUUGGUGAGGUAAAGGCUCACCAAGGCGACGAUCUGUAGCGGGUCUGAGAGGAUGAUCCGCCACACUGGGACUGAGACACGGCCCAGACUCCUACGGGAGGCAGCAGUGGGGAAUUUUGGACAAUGGGGGCAACCCUGAUCCAGCCAUGCCGCGUGAGUGAAGAAGGCCUUCGGGUUGUAAAGCUCUUUCGGCCGGGAAGAAAUCGCACAGGCUAAUACUCUGUGUGGAUGACGGUACCGGCAUAAGAAGCACCGGCUAACUACGUGCCAGCAGCCGCCGUAA
Molecule: ribosomal RNA, 504 nt
Filed under: uncultured bacterium
Lineage: Bacteria
Description: partial 16S ribosomal RNA
Rfam family: Bacterial small subunit ribosomal RNA
Source: RNAcentral